RNAcentral lists this transfer RNA (72 nucleotides) under Candidatus Nealsoniibacteriota bacterium. Its description in RNAcentral is "Candidatus Nealsonbacteria bacterium tRNA-Ile". It matches the Rfam family "tRNA". Rfam says of the family: Transfer RNA (tRNA) molecules are approximately 80 nucleotides in length. Their secondary structure includes four short double-helical elements and three loops (D, anti-codon, and T loops). Further hydrogen bonds mediate the characteristic L-shaped molecular structure. tRNAs have two regions of fundamental functional importance: the anti-codon, which is responsible for specific mRNA codon recognition, and the 3' end, to which the tRNAs corresponding amino acid is attached (by aminoacyl-tRNA synthetases). tRNAs cope with the degeneracy of the genetic code in two manners: having more than one tRNA (with a specific anti-codon) for a particular amino acid; and 'wobble' base-pairing, i.e. permitting non-standard base-pairing at the 3rd anti-codon position. The record is from RNAcentral. Lineage: Bacteria; Candidatus Nealsoniibacteriota.
GGGCGCGUAGUUCAUUGGCAGAACGCCUCUCUGAUAAAGAGGAGGUAGAUGGUUCGAUUCCAUCCGUGCCCA